RNAcentral lists this ribosomal RNA (497 nucleotides) under uncultured bacterium. RNAcentral describes it as "partial 16S ribosomal RNA". It matches the Rfam family "Bacterial small subunit ribosomal RNA", at positions 28 to 507 of the family's 1533-position model. The record is from RNAcentral.
GAUGAACGCUGGCGGCGUGCCUAAUACAUGCAAGUCAAGCGAACAGACGAGGAGCUUGCUCCUCUGACGUUAGCGGCGGACGGGUGAGUAACACGUGGAUAACCUACCUAUAAGACUGGGAUAACUUCGGGAAACCGGAGCUAAUACCGGAUAAUAUAUUGAACCGCAUGGUUCAAUAGUGAAAGACGGUUUUGCUGUCACUUAUAGAUGGAUCCGCGCCGCAUUAGCUAGUUGUUAAGGUAACGGCUUACCAAGGCGACGAUGCGUAGCCGACCUGAGAGGGUGAUCGGCCACACUGGAACUGAGACACGGUCCAGACUCCUACGGGAGGCAGCAGUAGGGAAUCUUCCGCAAUGGGCGAAAGCCUGACGGAGCAACGCCGCGUGAGUGAUGAAGGUCUUCGGAUCGUAAAACUCUGUUAUUAGGGAAGAACAAAUGUGUAAGUAACUAUGCACGUCUUGACGGUACCUAAUCAGAAAGCCACGGCUAACUACGUG